Non-coding RNA from Triticum aestivum (bread wheat), 86 nucleotides. The record is from Rfam. Lineage: Eukaryota; Viridiplantae; Streptophyta; Magnoliopsida; Poales; Poaceae.
GGUGGUGCAAUGGUUAUAAAACAUUCCUCGUACUGAUGGGAGAUCCACGUGAAUGACUCCUAUACACCGAUAGAAUCUGAGCACCA